CCCUGCCAUUUGUACACACCGCCCGUCGCUCCUACCGAUUGAGUGUUCCGGUGAAUAAUUCGGACUGCAGCAGCGUGGGGACUCCUCAUGCUGCAGCGGAAAGUUUGGUGAACCUUAACACUUAGAGG
This 128-nucleotide ribosomal RNA is filed under the name uncultured eukaryote. RNAcentral describes it as "partial small subunit ribosomal RNA". It matches the Rfam family "Eukaryotic small subunit ribosomal RNA", at positions 1651 to 1779 of the family's 1831-position model. The record is from RNAcentral.